The sequence is a ribosomal RNA, 1277 nucleotides long. It matches the Rfam family "Bacterial small subunit ribosomal RNA", at positions 223 to 1520 of the family's 1533-position model.
GGAUGAGACUAUAUUGUAUCAGCUAGUUGGUGAGGUAAUGGCUCACCAAGGCUAUGACGCAUAACUGGUCUGAGAGGAUGAUCAGUCACACUGGAACUGAGACACGGUCCAGACUCCUACGGGAGGCAGCAGUAGGGAAUAUUGCUCAAUGGGGGAAACCCUGAAGCAGCAACGCCGCGUGGAGGAUGACACUUUUCGGAGCGUAAACUCCUUUUCUUAGGGAAGAAAUUUGACGGUACCUAAGGAAUAAGCACCGGCUAACUCCGUGCCAGCAGCCGCGGUAAUACGGAGGGUGCAAGCGUUACUCGGAAUCACUGGGCGUAAAGGACGCGUAGGCGGAUUAUCAAGUCUUUUGUGAAAUCUAAUGGCUCAACCAUUAAACUGCUUGAGAAACUGAUAAUCUAGAGUGAGGGAGAGGCAGAUGGAAUUGGUGGUGUAGGGGUAAAAUCCGUAGAGAUCACCAGGAAUACCCAUUGCGAAGGCGAUCUGCUAGAACUCAACUGACGCUAAUGCGUGAAAGCGUGGGGAGCAAACAGGAUUAGAUACCCUGGUAGUCCACGCCCUAAACGAUGUAUACUAGUUGUUGCUAUGCUAGUCAUGGCAGUAAUGCACCUAACGGAUUAAGUAUACCGCCUGGGGAGUACGGUCGCAAGAUUAAAACUCAAAGGAAUAGACGGGGACCCGCACAAGCGGUGGAGCAUGUGGUUUAAUUCGAAGAUACGCGAAGAACCUUACCUGGGCUUGAUAUCCUAAGAACCUUGUAGAGAUACGAGGGUGCUAGCUUGCUAGAACUUAGUGACAGGUGCUGCACGGCUGUCGUCAGCUCGUGUCGUGAGAUGUUCGGUUAAGUCCGGCAACGAGCGCAACCCACGUAUUUAGUUGCUAACAGUUUGGCUGAGCACUCUAAAUAUACUGCCUUCGUAAGGAGGAGGAAGGUGUGGACGACGUCAAGUCAUCAUGGCCCUUAUGCCCAGGGCGACACACGUGCUACAAUGGCAUAUACAAUGAGACGCAAUAUCGUGAGAUGGAGCAAAUCUAUAAAAUAUGUCCCAGUUCGGAUUGUUCUCUGCAACUCGAGAGCAUGAAGCCGGAAUCGCUAGUAAUCGUAGAUCAGCCAUGCUACGGUGAAUACGUUCCCGGGUCUUGUACUCACCGCCCGUCACACCAUGGGAGUUGAUUUCACUCGAAGUCGGAAUGCUAAACUAGCUACCGCCCACAGUGGAAUCAGCGACUGGGGUGAAGUCGUAACAAGGUAACCGUAGGAGAACCUGCGGUUG